UAAGGUGGACCAAAGACUAAAAACGCCACAUCGUGUGGCAACGUCUUCGUGACCCUACGACGUGUAGG
Molecule: small RNA, 68 nt
Filed under: Bacillus sp. FJAT-27986
Lineage: Bacteria; Bacillati; Bacillota; Bacilli; Caryophanales; Bacillaceae
Description: Bacillaceae-1 RNA
Rfam family: Bacillaceae-1 RNA
Source: Rfam by way of RNAcentral